This 1263-nucleotide unclassified non-coding RNA is filed under the name uncultured Neocallimastigales. Its description in RNAcentral is "partial contains internal transcribed spacer 1, 5.8S ribosomal RNA, internal transcribed spacer 2, and large subunit ribosomal RNA". The stretch from base 546 to 1263 matches the Rfam family "Eukaryotic large subunit ribosomal RNA", at positions 1 to 628 of the family's 3401-position model. The record is from RNAcentral. Lineage: Eukaryota; Fungi; Neocallimastigomycota; Neocallimastigomycetes; Neocallimastigales.
UAAAUAAUCUACCUUUGUGAAUUUGUUUGUUUGAAUAAUUUUUUUUUUUAAAAAUUAUUGGAGUCUUCCCUUUAGAGUUGCUUUUGAGUUGUAAAAGAAUUCGAAACAUCUAAAGGAUGGUCAUAAUUUUUUUGAAAAAGACAUUUUUAAAAUUAACUUUUGUAUCAUUGUCUAAAAUAUUUUAUAAUAUAAAAACAACUUUUGACAAUGGAUCUUUGUUCUCGCAACGAUGAAGAACGCAGCAAAAUGCGAUAAGUAGUGUGAAUGCAGAAUACGUGAAUCAUCGAAUCUUGAACGCAUAUUGCACUUUUUAGUUUACUAAAAAGUAUGUCUGUUGAGUAUCAGUAAAUAUUCAUAAAAUCAUUGUAUUUUAUGUUAUGAGUGUUUUACAACGAUACAAGUUGUUUCACUUUAAAUUUUUUUUUAAUAUUGAAUUUUUCUAAUUUAAUAAUUAAAUUGGAUAAAAUUUUCCGUCAAAAGAUAACUAAACAAUUUAAUGAUUAAUUUUAGCAAAUUUCGAAAAAAGGAAAUUUUAUUAAAAUACUUGAUCUCAAAUCAGAUAAGAGUACCGCUGAACUUAAGCAUCAUAAGCGGAGGAAAAGAAACUAACAAGGAUUCCUUAGUAACGCGAGUGAAGCGGAAGAGCUCAAUUUGAAUCUUCAAGUUUUACCUGAGAAUUGUAGUUUAAAGAAGUGUUUCUGCUGAAGUUUGGUAAAGUCUUUGGAAUAGAAUCAUAGAGGGUGAGAAUCCGUAUUGACCAUUAUUUUCAGCUUUGUGAUACACUUUCAAAGAGUCGGAUUGUUUGGGAAUGCAGUCCAAAAUGGGUGUAAAUUUCAUCUAAAGCAAAUAUUGGCGAGAGACCGAUAGCGAACAAUACCGUGAGGAAGAUGAAAGAACUUUGAAAAGAGAGUAAACAGUACGUGAAAUUGUCAAAAGGAAGCGUUUGACACCAGUGUGUUUUCUCGAAAUCAAUUAAAAUGGCUCGAUUUGUAUUGCUGAGACUUAAAGCUCACUGUACAUUUUCGUGUCUUUUUUAAUGCACUUUUCGUUUAACAAGUCAACAUCAGUUUCUUUGUUGUAAAGGUCAUUGGAAGUGGCUUUCUUUCGGAGAAAGUGUUAUAGCUUUGGCUCUGCAUCGAGAGACUGAGUUGCAGGUAGACUCUUCGGGUUAGAUACAUUUGCUAGUUAUAGCUUUUUAUAGACAACUUGUUGACUUAUUAGUCUUGUAGCUACUCGCUUAUGCUAUUUACCUACGUUAGGAUG